AUUGAACGUUGGCGGCAGGCCUAACACAUGCAAGUCGAGCGGAUGACGGGAGCUUGCUCCUUGAUUCAGCGGCGGACGGGUGAGUAAUGCCUAGGAAUCUGCCUGGUAGUGGGGGACAACGUUUCGAAAGGAACGCUAAUACCGCAUACGUCCUACGGGAGAAAGCAGGGGACCUUCGGGCCUUGCGCUAUCAGAUGAGCCUAGGUCGGAUUAGCUAGUUGGUGGGGUAAUGGCUCACCAAGGCGACGAUCCGUAACUGGUCUGAGAGGAUGAUCAGUCACACUGGAACUGAGACACGGUCCAGACUCCUACGGGAGGCAGCAGUGGGGAAUAUUGGACAAUGGGCGAAAGCCUGAUCCAGCCAUGCCGCGUGUGUGAAGAAGGUCUUCGGAUUGUAAAGCACUUUAAGUUGGGAGGAAGGGCAGUAAGUUAAUACCUUGCUGUUUUGACGUUACCGACAGAAUAAGCACCGGCUAACUCUGUGCCAGCAGCCGCGGUAAUACAGAGGGUGCAAGCGUUAAUCGGAAUUACUGGGCGUAAAGCGCGCGUAGGUGGUUUGUUAAGUUGGAUGUGAAAGCCCCGGGCUCAACCUGGGAACUGCAUCCAAAACUGGCAAGCUAGAGUACGGUAGAGGGUGGUGGAAUUUCCUGUGUAGCGGUGAAAUGCGUAGAUAUAGGAAGGAACACCAGUGGCGAAGGCGACCACCUGGACUGAUACUGAC
This 721-nucleotide ribosomal RNA is filed under the name uncultured Pseudomonadota bacterium. RNAcentral's name for it is "bacterial SSU rRNA". It matches the Rfam family "Bacterial small subunit ribosomal RNA", at positions 28 to 744 of the family's 1533-position model. Lineage: Bacteria; Pseudomonadati; Pseudomonadota. The record is from RNAcentral.